RNAcentral lists this transfer RNA (78 nucleotides) under Clostridiales bacterium. RNAcentral describes it as "tRNA-Val". The stretch from base 17 to 75 matches the Rfam family "tRNA". From Rfam's summary of the family: Transfer RNA (tRNA) molecules are approximately 80 nucleotides in length. Their secondary structure includes four short double-helical elements and three loops (D, anti-codon, and T loops). The record is from RNAcentral. Lineage: Bacteria; Bacillati; Bacillota; Clostridia; Eubacteriales.
GGUAAGUCUUAACCUGGGACCCAGAGCACAUCGUUCACAUCGAUGGGGUCACAGGUUCGAGUCCUGUUGCGACCACCA